GAUGAACGCUGGCGGCGUGCCUAAUACAUGCAAGUAGAACGCUGAAGGAAGGAGCUUGCUCUUUCCGGAUGAGUUGCGAACGGGUGAGUAACGCGUAGGUAACCUGCCUGGUAGCGGGGGAUAACUAUUGGAAACGAUAGCUAAUACCGCAUAACAGUAGAUGUUGCAUGAUAUCUACUUAAAAGGUGCAAUUGCACCACUACCAGAUGGACCUGCGUUGUAUUAGCUAGUUGGUGAGGUAACGGCUCACCAAGGCGACGAUACAUAGCCGACCUGAGAGGGUGAUCCGCCACACUGGGACUGAGACACGGCCCAGACUCCUACGGGAGGCAGCAGUAGGGAAUCUUCGGCAAUGGACGGAAGUCUGACCGAGCAACGCCGCGUGAGUGAAGAAGGUUUUCGGAUCGUAAAGCUCCGUUGUAAGAGAAGAACGAGUGUGAGAGUGGAAAGUUCACACUGUGACGGUAUCUUACCAGAAAGAGACGGCUAACUACGUG
Molecule: ribosomal RNA, 497 nt
Filed under: uncultured bacterium
Lineage: Bacteria
Description: partial 16S ribosomal RNA
Rfam family: Bacterial small subunit ribosomal RNA
Source: RNAcentral